This 393-nucleotide unclassified non-coding RNA is filed under the name soil metagenome. Its description in RNAcentral is "partial contains 5.8S ribosomal RNA, internal transcribed spacer 2, and large subunit ribosomal RNA". The stretch from base 1 to 122 matches the Rfam family "5.8S ribosomal RNA", at positions 35 to 154 of the family's 154-position model. The record is from RNAcentral.
GAUGAAGAACGUAGCGAAAUGCGAUACCUGGUGUGAAUUGCAGAAUCCCGCGAACCAUCGAGUCUUUGAACGCAAGUUGCGCCCGAGGCCACCCGGCCGAGGGCACGCCUGCCUGGGCGUCACGCCAAAACACGCUCCCACCCCCCCUCACCGGGGGAGCGGGACGCGGCGUCUGGCCCCCCGUGCCGCGAGGCGCGGUGGGCCGAAGAUCGGGCUGCCGGCGUACCGUGCCGGGCACAGCGCGUGGUGGAUCUCUACUCGGCGCAGUGCACCCGGCGCGUAGCCGGCGCAGCGGCCCCUAAGGACCCAACGAACGGAGCGCGAGCCGCUCCGACCGCGACCCCAGGUCAGGCGGGACUACCCGCUGAGUUUAAGCAUAUCAAUAAGCGGGGA